RNAcentral lists this ribosomal RNA (253 nucleotides) under uncultured bacterium. RNAcentral's name for it is "partial 16S ribosomal RNA". It matches the Rfam family "Bacterial small subunit ribosomal RNA", at positions 524 to 776 of the family's 1533-position model. The record is from RNAcentral.
UACGUAGGGGGCUAGCGUUGUCCGGAAUCAUUGGGCGUAAAGCGCGCGUAGGCGGCCCCGUAAGUCCGCUGUGAAAGUCAAAGGCUCAACCUUUGAAAGCCGGUGGAUACUGUGGGGCUAGAGUACGGAAGAGGCGAGUGGAAUUCCUGGUGUAGCGGUGGAAUGCGCAGAUAUCAGGAGGAACACCAAUAGCGAAGGCAGCUCGCUGGGACGUUACUGACGCUGAGGCGCGAAAGCGUGGGGAGCGAACAGG